UGAAGAAGACGUGAACCUAUGAUGUGGUCC
Molecule: non-coding RNA, 30 nt
Filed under: Macaca fascicularis (crab-eating macaque)
Lineage: Eukaryota; Metazoa; Chordata; Mammalia; Primates; Cercopithecidae
Also listed under: 1 other name
Source: RNAcentral